GUGGGUAGUUUGACUGGGGCGGUCUCCUCCUAAAGAGUAACGGAGGAGCACGAAGGUUGGCUAAUCCUGGUCGGACAUCAGGAGGUUAGUGCAAUGGCAUAAGCCAGCUUGACUGCGAGCGUGACGGCGCGAGCAGGUGCGAAAGCAGGUCAUAGUGAUCCGGUGGUUCUGAAUGGAAGGGCCAUCGCUCAACGGAUAAAAGGUACUCCGGGGAUAACAGGCUGAUACCGCCCAAGAGUUCAUAUCGACGGCGGUGUUUGGCACCUCGAUGUCGGCUCAUCACAUCCUGGGGCUGAAGUAGGUCCCAAGGGUAUGGCUGUUCGCCAUUUAAAGUGGUACGCGAGCUGGGUUUAGAACGUCGUGAGACAGUUCGGUCCCUAUCUGCCGUGGGCGCUGGAGAACUGAGGGGGGCUGCUCCUAGUACGAGAGGACCGGAGUGGACGCAUCACUGGUGUUCGGGUUGUCAUGCCAAUGGCACUGCCCGGUAGCUAAAUGCGGAAGAGAUAAGUGCUGAAAGCAUCUAAGCACGAAACUUGCCCCGAGAUGAGUUCUCCCUGAGACUUAAAGUCUCCUGAAGGAACGUUGAAGACGACGACGUUGAUAGGCCGGGUGUGUAAGCGCAGCGAUGCGUUGAGCUAACCGGUACUAAUGAACCGUGAG
RNAcentral lists this ribosomal RNA (660 nucleotides) under Salmonella enterica. RNAcentral's name for it is "partial 23S ribosomal RNA". It matches the Rfam family "Bacterial large subunit ribosomal RNA", at positions 2261 to 2915 of the family's 2925-position model. The record is from RNAcentral. Lineage: Bacteria; Pseudomonadati; Pseudomonadota; Gammaproteobacteria; Enterobacterales; Enterobacteriaceae. RNAcentral also lists the same sequence under 3 other names.